GUCUACGGCCAUUCCACCCUGAACGCGCCCGAUCUCGUCUGAUCUCGGAAGCUAAGCAGGGUCGGGCCUGGUUAGUACUUGGAUGGAAGAAUGUUGUUUUUCUUUGUAAAUC
Dipodomys ordii (Ord's kangaroo rat) is the source of this 112-nucleotide ribosomal RNA. Lineage: Eukaryota; Metazoa; Chordata; Mammalia; Rodentia; Heteromyidae. The record is from Ensembl.